RNAcentral lists this ribosomal RNA (408 nucleotides) under uncultured bacterium. Its description in RNAcentral is "partial 16S ribosomal RNA". It matches the Rfam family "Bacterial small subunit ribosomal RNA", at positions 29 to 526 of the family's 1533-position model. The record is from RNAcentral.
AGUGAACGCUGGCGGCGUGCCUAAUACAUGCAAGUCGAACGGAGUGGCGCACGGGUGAGUAAGGUAUAGCUAAUCUGCCCUACACUAGAGGACAACAGUUGGAAACGGCUGCUAAUACUCUAUAGUGUAGGAUGAGGCUAUGUUGUAUCAGCUAGUUGGUGAGGUAAUGGCUCACCAAGGCUAUGAUGCAUAACUGGUCUGAGAGGUUGAUCAGUCACACUGGAACUUAUGCACGGUCCCGACUCCUACGGGAGGCCGCAGUAGGGAAUAAUGCUCAAUAGGAGAAACCCUGAAUCAGCAGCUCCGCGUGGAGGGUGACAGUUAUCGGAGCAUAAGCACCUUUGGUAAGGGAAGCGGUACCUAACGAGUAAGCACCGGCUAACUCCGUGCCAGCAGCCGCGGUAAUUC